GAAAUGCGAUACGUAAUGCGAAUUGCAGAAUUCAGUGAAUCAUCAAAUCUUUGAACGCAACUUGCGCUUUCGGGUAGCCCCGGAAGCAUGCUUCUUUGAGUAUCGUUUCAACCCGUCUCUGGCCGCGUGCUUAGAGUCUUGAGGCGUUAGACUGCACAAGUCUAUCCCUUUAAGUAUAGCGCUCUACUCAACUUUCGUUGGGACGGUUUCUCUCAACUAGUUGAUGUUUGAUAAUUGACUUCGUGUCAACAAUAUCACAUCGGCUAGGAGGGCAGCUGGCGAGCUGGCAAAGGAAAAUUUAAACUUUUUUGAUAAUGAUCUCAGAUGAAGCAAGACUACCCGCCGAAUUUAA
RNAcentral lists this unclassified non-coding RNA (352 nucleotides) under uncultured fungus. RNAcentral's name for it is "sequence contains ITS1". The stretch from base 1 to 105 matches the Rfam family "5.8S ribosomal RNA", at positions 50 to 154 of the family's 154-position model. Lineage: Eukaryota; Fungi. The record is from RNAcentral.